This 359-nucleotide transfer-messenger RNA is filed under the name Phycisphaerae. RNAcentral describes it as "JAAYZK01 sp012514895 Standard tmRNA". It matches the Rfam family "transfer-messenger RNA". From Rfam's summary of the family: Bacterial tmRNA, also known as 10Sa RNA or SsrA, is named for its dual tRNA and mRNA-like properties. Its role is to liberate the mRNA from a stalled ribosome. To accomplish this part of the tmRNA is used as a reading frame that ends in a translation stop signal. RNAcentral also lists the same sequence under 1 other name. Lineage: Bacteria; Pseudomonadati; Planctomycetota. The record is from RNAcentral.
GGGGGCGAAAGGUUUCGACCGGACGAAUUGAGGUGUCAGUCGCGUGCCCAGGUUCCAGGAGGCCUGGUUAAACACCUGGAAAACCUAAAGAUGCCGACAACGGCUAUCGCAUGGCUGCCUAACUACUGACAGCCCGUCGCCACACCCGGCCUGCGGGGUGUGGUCGACGACACCAGCAGGCUAGCGACGGCGGAGUGGUCCGGUUACCGCCAGGGCGAAUCACGGCCGGGCUGGCCCCGAGGUGACCGUGUCGGUGCGGGUCCGACGGGCGAAACAUCAGUGAAAUACACCGCCUACGCACGUAGAAGCUGCCGCUGAAGCGUCACGGGACGCCGGUUCAAUUCCGGCCGCCUCCAGUC